Molecule: non-coding RNA, 107 nt
Organism: Favolaschia claudopus
Lineage: Eukaryota; Fungi; Basidiomycota; Agaricomycetes; Agaricales; Mycenaceae
Source: the annotation of a GenBank genome assembly
GACGCGAUGGCUGAGUGGUCUAAAGCGACAGAUUCGAAUGCCAACACAUGUAUAUCUUGUUUAUCUGUUCCACUUUGUGGGCGCAGGUUCAAAUCCUGCUCGCGUCG